AGCAGCCGCGGUAAUUCCAGCUCCAAUAGCGUAUAUUAAAGUUGUUGCAGUUAAAAAGCUCGUAGUUGAAUUUCGGGAUCAGACUGUCGGUCGUGCCUCGGUACGCACUGGCAUUAUUGGUUCCUACCUUCUGAAGAACCGCGAUGUCAUUAAUUUGGUGUCGUGGGGAAUCAGGACUGUUACUUUGAAAAAUUAGAGUGUUUAAAGCAGGCGCACGCUUGAAUACAUUAGCAUGGAAUAAUGAAAUAGGACGUUUGAUUCUAUUUUGUUGGUUUCUAGGAUCGACGUAAUGAUUAAUAGGGAUAGUUGGGGGCAUUAGUAUUC
This 324-nucleotide ribosomal RNA is filed under the name uncultured Glomeromycotina. RNAcentral describes it as "SSU rRNA". It matches the Rfam family "Eukaryotic small subunit ribosomal RNA", at positions 569 to 899 of the family's 1831-position model. Lineage: Eukaryota; Fungi; Glomeromycota. The record is from RNAcentral.